UGGGGGAUAUUGCACAAUGGGCGAAAGCCUGAUGCAGCGACGCCGCGUGGGGGAUGAAGGCUUUCGGGUUGUAAACCUCUUUCGCUAUCGAACAAGGCCCGCUUAGGGUGGGUUGAGGGUAGGUGGAGAAGAAGCGCCGGCUAACUACGUGCCAGCAGCCGCGGUAAUACGUAGGGCGCGAGCGUUGUCCGGAAUUAUUGGGCGUAAAGGGCUUGUAGGCGGCUUGUUGCGCCUGCUGUGAAAACGCGGGGCUUAACUUCGCGCGUGCAGUGGGUACGGGCAGGCUUGAGUGUGGUAGGGGUGACUGGAAUUCCGGGUGUAGCGGUGGAAUGCGCAGAUAUCUGGAGGAACCCCGAUGGCGAAGGCAGGUCACUGGGCCAUUACUGACGCUGAGGAGCGAAAGCAUGGGUAGCGAACAGG
This 420-nucleotide ribosomal RNA is filed under the name bacterium. RNAcentral describes it as "partial 16S ribosomal RNA". It matches the Rfam family "Bacterial small subunit ribosomal RNA", at positions 355 to 776 of the family's 1533-position model. The record is from RNAcentral.